CAGACUUCCAGAAUGCUCCACGGCUUCCGUUAUUCUGGAGCUCACAACCCAACCGUUCCUGUAAGAUGUGAGACCCUGAAGUCUCCCCCAAAACCAGAGGAGGCCAGUCAGUCUGGUGCCAAGCACAUCUGAAUUACUCUUCCUCCUGUACACUUUUCAACCCAAAGGAAGAAAGCUAGUGACUGGAGGCUCGAUCCUGUGAACCCAGGUGUGACUGCUGCCAAGAUUGCCUCACUGUGGACCCAACACCCUUGGGCAGGGGUGUUGAAUGUGGAGGACACAGGAGGAAACUGAACACUUUGAUGAUGCAAACAACCUGGAUCCCCGAGUGACCCCGUGGAGGAGAGGAAAGUUGCCUAAACUGCAUUGAACUUGGCAGGAGCAAGAAAUAAACAUUUGUAGUCAAACCUGACAAAUACUUACAGUUGGAAAGUGUAGAAAGGAGAAUUCACUAGAAAACUCAAGAAAUGACCCAGAAUGGAUCAGCACAAGUAAGACUAGGAUGGAUCUCAGAAUUCCCAGGGCUGUGCCUUGCAUUGUGGUACAAGAUGGGAGCUGGGAGCCAGGGCUCUUUCCCUCAUUAGUUCCAUAAUUCAUUCAUGACAUCACUCACAUGGGUGUUACUGAUGUUGGAGGUUAUAUGGCAGAUUCCUAGUUUAAGUGGUGAAAUUAUUCUUGCUCCUUCGUUUCUAAAUAUGAUUAACAUUUAAACAAGUAGAACUUGAGUAAAGCAGGUUACUCUCUAUAGCCUGGGUGGCCGUCAUGCAAUGAGUUGAAGGCCUCAAGAGAAAAGGCUGAGGCCCCUCAGAGAAGAAAGGAUUCUACUUCCAGAUUGUGUUUGGCCUCAAGACUGAACUGUCAACUGUUCCUUGGGGCUGUAGCCUGCUGGUCUGUCCUGUAGGUUUAGGACUCACUAGGUCUCACAAUUGUGUGAGCCAACACCUUGAAAUAAAUCUCUCUUUUAUAGACAUACAUACAAAUAUCUCU
This is a long non-coding RNA of Lemur catta (Ring-tailed lemur), 987 nucleotides long. RefSeq lists it as uncharacterized. NCBI's taxonomy places the organism in Eukaryota, Metazoa, Chordata, Mammalia, Primates, Lemuridae. The transcript has 3 exons. The record is from RefSeq and is a predicted model, not a curated record.